RNAcentral lists this long non-coding RNA (1292 nucleotides) under Vigna radiata. RNAcentral describes it as "long non-coding RNA (VRAD_LNC002677)". Lineage: Eukaryota; Viridiplantae; Streptophyta; Magnoliopsida; Fabales; Fabaceae. The record is from RNAcentral.
AGAACAUCAUCAGAACUUCGUCUCAGAACCACCAUCAUCUUUGCGCCGCAAUUGAUCUCAUCAUCAUCUAUUUUCUUCUCCAUUAAACCAUUUGAAACCUGUAAAGAGAAAACAGAAUCAUAAAUCUGAAAACCCCCAAAUUAACUACGAACCCUAAAUCGCACUAGACACAAAACGCGAUUAUCAGAGAUAAAACUACAGUUGCACCAUUCGUUUUAUGUUCACAAAACGGGAUGAUGUAUUAAUCUCAAUCUCUUCAACCUUCAAACCUCCGCGUUUUCUAGUGCCUGCCUAGUUGCACCAUUCGUUGAAAAGUCAAGAAAUCCCUUAUCCUUACCCCCACCACUUUCUUCCUUUCCUUCCUUUAAUACAUUUUCCACCCUUGUAUUUUUUGUACCAAAGUUUCAAUCUUUUUCGUCUUUGCACAGCCAAGGAUGGAUUUUUCCCCAUUGGGAUGCUCUGAAUAUAUUGUAAGUUCAGAUCUGUUGACGUGAGUCAUUGUUCAUGUUCUACCAUGCGUUUGUCCCCUUUUUUGGGUUUAGGUUUCUGGGGUUUAUGUGGCAGUGUCUUUUUUUAUUGGGUUUUGUUUGUUUCAAUUGCAUUAGAUUUUAGUUACAUGGCAUAUUAAUCACUUUAUGUUGUGAUGCACAUUUUUCUUGUGGAGCAAAUGACUGAAGGAUUCCGUUUAUGUCUAUUGACUAUAGUUAUGCAUUAUAGCUGUAAUUUUCAAGGACUGUAGUGGUGUCAAUGAAUUUUAAAUUUUAAUUUAAUCUGUGAGGGUUGGUUUCUGGGAGUUUCGGGAUUGGAAUUGGACAAGAUUUUGAAAAUGAUUGUGAGGAAAAGCGUCGGAUGGGUGAAGUCAUUGCUUUUUAUGCUUACGGUGCUUCUGUUUUUCUUUGCCACUGACAAUUUGGUAGCUACGAUCAUGGAGCAUAACGCGGAUGGGUUGGAACAAUCACGAAAGUUGGAGGCAGUGGUGAAGAAGCUGAACUUUAGGAUGACGGAGAAGAAACAGUUCACGAAGGGAGGAAGGGGAAGUUGGGGAUGUGGAGUUUUCGGAACCCAAUUUUUAAAAUGUUUUUUUUAUUAAAUACCACGUAUAAUGUUCUAGCAAUGCCACGUUUGAAAAAUUUUCCACCUCAAUAUCACAAAUCAUAAAAAAUUUAACACCGUUAACGAUUUUUAACGGCAGGGGCUAAUUUGUUUGAAAUUAACACUUAUAAGGACUCAAUUGGGAAGAUUUAAAAGAAAGGGACCAAAUUGGGAAUACCUUACGAAAAUAGGGAUGCCUA